This 67-nucleotide transfer RNA is filed under the name Eubacteriales bacterium. RNAcentral describes it as "tRNA-Val". It matches the Rfam family "tRNA". Rfam says of the family: Transfer RNA (tRNA) molecules are approximately 80 nucleotides in length. The record is from RNAcentral. Lineage: Bacteria; Bacillati; Bacillota; Clostridia; Eubacteriales.
UUAGCUCAGCUGGGAGAGCAUCUGCCUUACAAGCAGAGGGUCAUAGGUUCGAGUCCUAUAGGCCCCA